CAUCACUGACGCUCAUGGACGAAAGCCAGGGGAGCGAAAGGGAUUAGAUACCCCUGUAGUCCUGGCCGUAAACGAUGAACACUAGGUGUCGGGGGAAUCGACCCCCUCGGUGUCGUAGCCAACGCGUUAAGUGUUCCGCCUGGGGAGUACGCACGCAAGUGUGAAACUCAAAGGAAUUGACGGGGGCCCGCACAAGCGGUGGAGUAUGUGGUUUAAUUCGAUGCAACGCGAAGAACCUUACCAGGGUUUGACAUCCUGCGAAUCUCUUGGAAACGAGAGAGUGCCUUCGGGAGCGCAGUGACAGGUGGUGCAUGGCUGUCGUCAGCUCGUGUCGUGAGAUGUUGGGUUAAGUCCCGCAACGAGCGCAACCCACGUCUUUAGUUGCCAGCAUUUAGUUGGGCACUCUAGAGAGACCGCCGGUGAUAAACCGGAGGAAGGUGUGGAUGACGUCAAGUCAUCAUGCCCCUUACAUCCUGGGCUACACACGUACUACAAUGCUACGGACAAAGGGCAGCAAGUUCGCGAGGACAAGCAAAUCCCAUAAACCGUGGCUCAGUUCAGAUCGUAGGCUGCAACUCGCCUACGUGAAGGAGGAAUCGCUAGUAAUCGCAGGUCAGCAUACUGCGGUGAAUACGUUCCCGGGCCUUGUACACACCGCCCGUCACACCAUGGAAGUUGGCCACGCCCGAAGCCGUUACUCCAACCCUUGUGGAGGAGGACGUCGAAGGUGGGGCUGAUGACUGGGGUGAAGUCGUAACAAGGUAGCCGUA
RNAcentral lists this ribosomal RNA (770 nucleotides) under uncultured bacterium. RNAcentral describes it as "bacterial SSU rRNA". It matches the Rfam family "Bacterial small subunit ribosomal RNA", at positions 735 to 1504 of the family's 1533-position model. The record is from RNAcentral.